ACUGGAGCUUGCUCCUGGAUUCAGCGGCGGACGGGUGAGUAAUGCCUAGGAAUCUGCCUGGUAGUGGGGGAUAACGUCCGGAAACGGGCGCUAAUACCGCAUACGUCCUGAGGGAGAAAGUGGGGGAUCUUCGGACCUCACGCUAUCAGAUGAGCCUAGGUCGGAUUAGCUAGUUGGUGGGGUAACGGCCUACCAAGGCGACGAUCCGUAACUGGUCUGAGAGGAUGAUCAGUCACACUGGAACUGAGACACGGUCCAGACUCCUACGGGAGGCAGCAGUGGGGAAUAUUGGACAAUGGGCGAAAGCCUGAUCCAGCCAUGCCGCGUGUGUGAAGAAGGUCUUCGGAUUGUAAAGCACUUUAAGUUGGGAGGAAGGGCAGUAAGUUAAUACCUUGCUGUUUUGACGUUACCAACAGAAUAAGCACCGGCUAACUUCGUGCCAGCAGCCGCGGUAAUACGAAGGGUGCAAGCGUUAAUCGGAAUUACUGGGCGUAAAGCGCGCGUAGGUGGUUCAGCAAGUUGGAUGUGAAAUCCCCGGGCUCAACCUGGGAACUGCAUCCAAAACUACUGAGCUAGAGUACGGUAGAGGGUGGUGGAAUUUCCUGUGUAGCGGUGAAAUGCGUAGAUAUAGGAAGGAACACCAGUGGCGAAGGCGACCACCUGGACUGAUACUGACACUGAGGUGCGAAAGCGUGGGGAGCAAACAGGAUUAGAUACCCUGGUAGUCCACGCCGUAAACGAUGUCGACUAGCCGUUGGGAUCCUUGAGAUCUUAGUGGCGCAGCUAACGCGAUAAGUCGACCGCCUGGGGAGUACGGCCGCAAGGUUAAAACUCAAAUGAAUUGACGGGGGCCCGCACAAGCGGUGGAACAUGUGGUUUAAUUCGAAGCAACGCGAAGAACCUUACCUGGCCUUGACAUGCUGAAAACUUUCCAGAGAUGGAUUGGUGCCUUCGGGAAUUCAGACCAGGUGCUGCAUGGCUG
Molecule: ribosomal RNA, 982 nt
Filed under: Pseudomonas aeruginosa
Lineage: Bacteria; Pseudomonadati; Pseudomonadota; Gammaproteobacteria; Pseudomonadales; Pseudomonadaceae
Description: bacterial SSU rRNA
Rfam family: Bacterial small subunit ribosomal RNA
Source: RNAcentral